GUGCCAGCCGCCGCGGUAAUACGUAGGUGGCAAGCGUUAUCCGGAAUUAUUGGGCGUAAAGCGCGCGUAGGCGGUUUUUUAAGUCUGAUGUGAAAGCCCACGGCUCAACCGUGGAGGGUCAUUGGAAACUGGAAAACUUGAGUGCAGAAGAGGAAAGUGGAAUUCCAUGUGUAGCGGUGAAAUGCGCAGAGAUAUGGAGGAACACCAGUGGCGAAGGCGACUUUCUNGGUCUGUAACUGACGCUGAUGUGCGAAAGCGUGGGGAUCAAACAGGAUUAGA
RNAcentral lists this ribosomal RNA (279 nucleotides) under uncultured Staphylococcus sp. RNAcentral's name for it is "partial 16S ribosomal RNA". It matches the Rfam family "Bacterial small subunit ribosomal RNA", at positions 505 to 782 of the family's 1533-position model. Lineage: Bacteria; Bacillati; Bacillota; Bacilli; Caryophanales; Staphylococcaceae. The record is from RNAcentral.